Eutrema salsugineum is the source of this 107-nucleotide small nucleolar RNA. It matches the Rfam family "Plant small nucleolar RNA R71". From Rfam's summary of the family: R71 is a member of the C/D box family of snoRNAs containing the C (UGAUGA) and D (CUGA) box motifs. Multiple nearly identical copies of this snoRNA have been identified in Arabidopsis, and it is thought to function as a 2'-O-ribose methylation guide for 18S ribosomal RNA. The record is from Rfam. Lineage: Eukaryota; Viridiplantae; Streptophyta; Magnoliopsida; Brassicales; Brassicaceae.
ACGUCAUGAUGAGGGCAAUGAAUAGUAUAACUCUUGAACCUUUCCUAUGCUUCACAAAAGCUAUCACGGUUAUUUUUUGUGAAGCUUGAUAUUUCAUUCCUCAGCCU